CCUACGGGUGGCAGCAGUGGGGAAUAUUGCGCAAUGGGCGAAAGCCUGACGCAGCGACGCCGCGUGAGGGAUGAAGGUCUUCGGAUCGUAAACCUCUUUCAGCAGGGAAGAACGGUCACUGUGCUAAUCAGCAGUGAAUUGACGGUACCUGCAAAGGAAGCACCGGCUAACUCCGUGCCAGCAGCCGCGGUAAUCCGGCGGGUGCGAGCGUUAAUCGGAAUUACUGGGCGUAAAGCGCUCGUAUGCUGUAUGUCAAGUCAAGGGGGAAAUCCCCGCGCUCAACGUGGGAACUGCCUUUGAAACUGGUAAACUGGAGUGUGUGAGAGGAGAGUGGAAUUCCAGGUGUAGGAGUGAAAUCCGUAGAUAUCUGGAGGAACAUCAGUGGCGAAGGCGACUAUCUGGCACAUAACUGACGCUGAGGAGCGAAAGCGUGGGUAGCAAACAGGAUUAGAUACCCGGGUAGUC
RNAcentral lists this ribosomal RNA (465 nucleotides) under uncultured bacterium. Its description in RNAcentral is "partial 16S ribosomal RNA". It matches the Rfam family "Bacterial small subunit ribosomal RNA", at positions 338 to 795 of the family's 1533-position model. The record is from RNAcentral.